CUCAGGCUCUUGUAGAAAGUGGGAGUGACAUGCCUUCGAGCAGUUCUAAUCCAUCAAAUGAAGAGUCUCAUGUUCCUCAAAUGCGUAGAAGUCAAAGGGGUAACAUUCCUCGUCGUCUUUUUGAGAUUGAGGGGAAUGCCUUUGUAGCUGAUGCGCAAGACGAUGAGGAACCUCGAUCUUAUUGAGAUGCUCUAGCAUCUGCUAUGAGAGAUAAAU
Molecule: long non-coding RNA, 216 nt
Filed under: Panax ginseng (ginseng)
Lineage: Eukaryota; Viridiplantae; Streptophyta; Magnoliopsida; Apiales; Araliaceae
Description: long non-coding RNA (PGIN_LNC016124)
Source: RNAcentral